AUUCAGAUGACGAAUCCAAAAUAGAACGAAACACGUAUCUUAAAU
Molecule: non-coding RNA, 45 nt
Organism: Schistosoma mansoni
Lineage: Eukaryota; Metazoa; Platyhelminthes; Trematoda; Strigeidida; Schistosomatidae
Source: Rfam